GACGAGCGCUGGCGGCGUGCCCAAUACAUGCAAGUAGAACGCUGAAGAGAGGAGCUUGCUCUUCUUGGAUGAGUUGCGAACGGGUGAGUAACGCGUAGGUAACCUGCCUGGUAGCGGGGGAUAACUAUUGGAAACGAUAGCUAAUACCGCAUAAGAGUAGAUGUUGCAUGACAUUUGCUUAAAAGGUGCAAUUGCAUCACUACCAGAUGGACCUGCGUUGUAUUAGCUAGUUGGUGAGGUAACGGCUCACCAAGGCAACGAUACAUAGCCGACCUGAGAGGGUGAUCGGCCACACUGGGACUGAGACACGGCCCAGACUCCUACGGGAGGCAGCAGUAGGGAAUCUUCGGCAAUGGACGGAAGUCUGACCGAGCAACGCCGCGUGAGUGAAGAAGGUUUUCGGAUCGUAAAGCUCUGUUGUAAGAGAAGAACGAGUGUGAGAGUGGAAAGUUCA
This 454-nucleotide ribosomal RNA is filed under the name Streptococcus mitis. RNAcentral describes it as "bacterial SSU rRNA". It matches the Rfam family "Bacterial small subunit ribosomal RNA", at positions 28 to 466 of the family's 1533-position model. The record is from RNAcentral. Lineage: Bacteria; Bacillati; Bacillota; Bacilli; Lactobacillales; Streptococcaceae.